AUGGCCGCCAACAAGAUGCCGUUCGCCAUGCCGAUGGCCAGAGCGGAGCAGGAGGCCAAGGUGGAGAAGGUCAAGCCGGAGGAGGCGACGAUCAAGGCCAAUGUGGAGGUGGAGACCAUCACCACGGAGGAGGGGCUCAUCAAGUUCAUGGAGCUGCUGGAGAAGGAGGAGGCGUUCCUCAAGGCCAAGGCAGAGGCGGAGAAGGAGGCGGGGUGUGGGUCCAAGAGGAAGGUGGAGUUGGAGCGGGACGAGGAGGGGGCGGUGUUCGUAGCGCGGAUGGAGGCCCUGAGGCCGUUGUACGGGGAUGGGGACGUGUCGGACGGCUACGACUCGCAGGACGACGACCCGGACAGCACCUUCGGCAACGUCAUGGCGCAGUUGGAGCAGCAAAUCCAGACCAACAACGCUCGCUGGCCUUUCUUAAUUGGUGGGGGCCAAAUCCCCUGA
RNAcentral lists this ribosomal RNA (447 nucleotides) under Triticum aestivum (bread wheat). Its description in RNAcentral is "partial small subunit ribosomal RNA". The record is from RNAcentral. Lineage: Eukaryota; Viridiplantae; Streptophyta; Magnoliopsida; Poales; Poaceae.